RNAcentral lists this ribosomal RNA (1714 nucleotides) under Diphucephala sp. NLG-2014. RNAcentral describes it as "partial 16S ribosomal RNA". The record is from RNAcentral. Lineage: Eukaryota; Metazoa; Arthropoda; Insecta; Coleoptera; Scarabaeidae.
UAAACUAGGAUUAGAUACCCUAUUAUUAAAAAUGUAAAUUGAUUACUAGUGUAGUAUUAGAUAUGUUCUUUAAAUAUAAAGGAUUUGGCGGUAUUUUAGUCUUUUCAGAGGAACCUGUUCUAUAAUUGAUAGUCCACGAUUAAUAUUACUUAUUUUAUUAGUUUGUAUAUCGUCGUAGUUUGAAUGUUUUAAAAGAAUUUAAUGUUCAAGAUUUAUAAUUAUAAAGAAAAUCAGAUCAAGGUGCAGUUUAUAAAUAAGUAGAAAUGGGUUACAAUAAAUUUAUUUAAAUGGUAGAAAUAAUUAAAGUUAUUUUUUAAAGUGGAUUUGAAGGUAAUAUUAUUAAUUUAAAUUAUAUGAUUAAAGCUCUAGGAUAUGCACAUAUCGCCCGUCGCUCCCUCUUUAAAGAGGGAUAAGUCGUAACAAAGUAGGUGUACCGGAAGGUGUAGCUAGAAUUGCAAAUUAGAGCUUGUUAAGUAUUUUAGUUACAUUAAAGAGUUAGUUGUGUAAAUCAAUUUAAUUUGAUAAUAAUUUUAUUAUAGUCAAUAUUAAAAAAAGUAUUUUUAUUUUUAGUAAUUAUUUUGAAACAAAGGGAUUAGUUAUAGUGUAAUAGUAUUGUGGAGGUAAAAUUAAAUAAUUGAAAAUUAAAUUUUUUAGAAGAAAAAUUAAGAGUUUGUACCUUGUGUAUCAGGGUUUAUUUAAAAUAAAUUAAGAAUUUAAUAUUCUCGAAUUAAGAAGAGUUAUUAAUUUAUAAAUUUAAUUGUAAUAUAAAUUUUUAUAAUAAGUUAAUAGAAAUGAAACGUUAUUCGUUUUUUAAGAUAUCUAGUUUUUUAAGAAAUAAGUUUAAUUUAGUUAAUUGAAUAUAGUUAUUUAUUUUAUAAAUAAGGUGUUUUUAUUAGUUAAAAUUUUAAGGGAUAAGCUUUAAAAUUGAAUUUUAUAAAUUUUGUUGUUGUUGAUAUUAAUAGAAUUAGAAGUUUUUAUUUUUAGUGUGUUAUAAUUAUGAUUUUUGUUGAUAUGAUUUAUAUUAGUAUUUUAGUUGUUAUAUUAAAAUGAUAUAUUAAAUUUUAUUUUAUAGGUAAUAAUGAUUAAAUUAGUAUAAAUUAAUUUGUGUAUUUAAAUUUUAGUAUUUAGAUAAAGUUAAGGAAUUCGGCAAAAUUAUUUUUCGCCUGUUUAUUAAAAACAUGUCUUUUUGUUUAUAAUUUAAAGUCUAACCUGCCCAAUGAGAAUUUAAAUGGCCGCGGUAUUUUGACCGUGCAAAGGUAGCAUAAUAAUUAGUUUUUUAAUUGAAAGCUGGAAUGAAUGGUUGGACGAGAAAAUUACUGUCUCAAUUUUAUAUUUUUAGAAUUUUAUUUUUAAGUAAAAAAGCUUAAAUAGGUUUAAAAGACGAGAAGACCCUAUAGAGUUUUAUAUUUAUUUUUAUAAUAAUUUUUUAGUAUUUUUAAUUUAUUAUAGAAUAAAGUAUUUUGUUGGGGUGAUAAAAAAAUUAAAUUAACUUUUUUUCUUUAUUUUCAUUGAUUUAUGAUAGAUUGAGCCAUUUUUAAUGAUUAAAAGAUUAAAUUACCUUAGGGAUAACAGCGUAAUUUUUUUUAAGAGUUCUAAUCGAUAAAAAAGUUUGCGACCUCGAUGUUGGAUUAAAGUAAAUUAUUGGUGUAGAAGCUAAAUAAUUAGGUCUGUUCGACCUUUAAAACUUUACAUGAUCUGAGUUCAAAACCGGAGA